RNAcentral lists this ribosomal RNA (441 nucleotides) under uncultured bacterium. RNAcentral describes it as "partial 16S ribosomal RNA". It matches the Rfam family "Bacterial small subunit ribosomal RNA", at positions 338 to 795 of the family's 1533-position model. The record is from RNAcentral.
CCUACGGGAGGCAGCAGUGGGGAAUAUUGCACAAUGGGGGAAACCCUGAUGCAGCAACGCCGCGUGAGUGCAGAAGUAUUUCGGUAUGUAAAGCUCUAUCAGCAGGGAAGAAGAAAGACGGUACCUGACUAAGAAGCCCCGGCUAACGACGUGCCAGCAGCCGCGGUAAUACGCAGGGGGCCAGCGUUAUCAGGAUUUAAUGGGUGUAAAGGGAGCGUAGACGGGUGUGCAAGUCUGAAGGGAAAGCCCGUGGCUCAACCGCGGAAGUGCUUUGGAAAUUGUAUGGCGUGAGGACUGGAGAGGCAGGCGGAAUUCCUAGUGUAGCGGUGAAAUGCGUAGAUAUUAGGAGGAACACCAGUGGCGAAGGCGGCCUGCUGGACAGAAACUGACGUUGAGGCUCGAAAGCGUGGGGAGCAAACAGGAUUAGAUACCCCAGUAGUC